RNAcentral lists this ribosomal RNA (230 nucleotides) under uncultured bacterium. Its description in RNAcentral is "partial 16S ribosomal RNA". It matches the Rfam family "Bacterial small subunit ribosomal RNA", at positions 524 to 753 of the family's 1533-position model. The record is from RNAcentral.
UACGUAGGGUCCGAGCGUUGUCCGGAAUACUGGGCGUAAAGCGUGCGCAGGCGGUAAUGUAAGACAGGUGUGAAAUCCCAGGGCUUAACCUUGGAACUGCAUUGGUGACUGGCAGGCUAGAGUAUGGCAGAGGGGGGUAGAAUUCCACGUGUAGCAGUGAAAUGCGUAGAGAUGUGGAGGAAUACCGAUGGCGAAGGCAGCCCCCCUGGGCCAAUACUGACGCUCAUGCA